Molecule: long non-coding RNA, 1291 nt
Filed under: Fragaria vesca (wild strawberry)
Lineage: Eukaryota; Viridiplantae; Streptophyta; Magnoliopsida; Rosales; Rosaceae
Description: long non-coding RNA (FVES_LNC004172)
Source: RNAcentral
CCUGCCCAUAGACCAGUCAUGAAACUUGUAGACCGACAUCCAGGCUACCUCGCCAUGGUGAAAUAUCAUCCAUGCCACAUCAGGAGGUCCUCCGUCCAAGCACGGCAAAGAGGCAUCGUGAUAAGAAAUAUGUGUAAUGUGUCCCACAUCGAAAGUGUGUUGUAAGUGGGAACCUUCCUAAUCUAUAAAGGAAGGGUUCCCCCUAAGUAGGAUCGAUCUUCUUCUCCCACCCAUGGCAACAUCUUGGAGACUCAUAAUCUUGUAACACUGCCAAAGGCAUUGAGGCCUCCCGAUAGUGAAUUCCAAGUGGACGUAGCCAUGCCCUCCGCCAGCAUGGUGAACCACUAUACGUCCUUGUCUCUUACCCAUGAUGCUUAUUGUUCAUGUUCGUGUUCCACCGUGAUUCUACAUGGUCCUCCGGGAUUAUGCAGAAACAUUUGGCGCCGUCUGUGGGAAUCAUUACAAAAAGUCACGUUGCUCCACCCGAGAGGCAUUCCAGUAAGCUCAUACAGGGAGGUCAACCCAAGGUAUCCAGUAUGUAGGCCUAAGCCAUCUCGGGCCCAACCCAUCAUGAGGUAACAUGUUGGCCUAAGCCACCAAGAGAGUGGCAUAACCCAGCCCGUCCGGGUUCCAUCUCUUAAGUCUCCUCUCUUGACUUCCAUGUGAUAGCAUCGGGACGUCGGAGAGCUAAGCCUCCCGCCCGGGUUCAUGACCGGAGCCUCCAACCGUCCCGGAGAGGAUUCAACGGGACCCGGAGCCUAGUCAUGUUGGCCGGGAGCUUCGCCGGUGACGGCCGGCUCCUCCCGUUGCCCCGGUCAUCUUCUUCUCCUGGAUGGCACCUCUCCUGGGACCCGGAGCUCAGUCACGUCGGCCGGGAGCUUCGCCGGUGACGGUCUGCUCCUCCCGCUGCCCGGUCGUCUUCUUCUCCCGGUGGUUACUCUCCCGGGCACCUAGCUCCCUUCCCGGUGGCUCAAGCUGGGCAGCAGUUCGGCAGCAGGUAGCCUCCGGGGUGACCUUGCCUCGGUCUCAGUGGCAGCAACCAGCCUUCCACUCUCCGGCUAGGGAAAGAAGAGGAAGUCAGUCCGGCCACCCAUCCUCUUGCUCUGGGCACCCAGCUUGGCAGCAGCCUUCGGGAGCCCGUAGAGAAAGGAAAGAAACGAAGAUGCAGAAGCAGAAAGAAGGAAGAUAAAAAAACAAAGAGAGAAAAAAAAAGGGAAGAAAGAAAGAAGGGGAAGAAAGGCAAAAGAGGGAAGAAAGAGAGAGAGAGAGAGAGAGAGAGAGAGAGAGAGGA